UGGGGAAUAUUGGACAAUGGGCGAAAGCCUGAUCCAGCCAUGCCGCGUGUGUGAAGAAGGCCUUUUGGUUGUAAAGCACUUUAAGUGGGGAGGAAAAGCUUGUGGUUAAUACCCAUAAGCCCUGACGUUACCCACAGAAUAAGCACCGGCUAACUCUGUGCCAGCAGCCGCGGUAAUACAGAGGGUGCAAGCGUUAAUCGGAAUUACUGGGCGUAAAGCGCGCGUAGGUGGUUAUUUAAGUCAGAUGUGAAAGCCCCGGGCUUAACCUGGGAACUGCAUCUGAUACUGGAUAACUAGAGUAGGUGAGAGGGGAGUAGAAUUCCAGGUGUAGCGGUGAAAUGCGUAGAGAUCUGAAGGAAUACCGAUGGCGAAGGCAGCUCCCUGGCAUCAUACUGACACUGAGGUGCGAAAGCGUGGGUAGCAAACAGGAUUAGAUACCCUGGUAGUCCACGCCGUAAACGAUGUCUACCAGUCGUUGGGUCUUUUAAAGACUUAGUGACGCAGUUAACGCAAUAAGUAGACCGCCUGGGGAGUACGGCCGCAAGGUUA
Molecule: ribosomal RNA, 549 nt
Filed under: uncultured bacterium
Lineage: Bacteria
Description: bacterial SSU rRNA
Rfam family: Bacterial small subunit ribosomal RNA
Source: RNAcentral